UUUGCACAAUUAGUAUUAUCAAUAUUAUUAAUGUAAAGUUAUAAAAGGCAAUUAACAUUUAUUAUAAGAUUUUAAAUCACUAAAAUGCAACAUUUAAUUUCGUUUUGAAUUUCACUCUCCAUCUAAAAAAGGUAACAUUCAAAUUUUGAACAUUGAUUUCCUUUUAAAAUCAUUAAUAUUUAUUGACUCAGUUUUAAUUCCUAUUAAAGCUCAAUUAUAUAAGAUAACUAACGUUUGCUUCCAUUUAAAGAAUGUAAAGUUCAAUUAUAUAAGGCAACUAAAGUUUGCUUCUAUUUAAAGAAGGUAAAAUUCAAUUAUAUAAAGCAACUAAAGUUUGCUUCCAUUUAAAGAAGUAAAGCUCAAUUAUACAAGGCAGUUAACGUUUCCUUCCAUUUAAAUGUUAGUUGCCUUAUAUAAUUGAGCUUUACCUUAUUUCAAUGGAAGCAAACGUUAGCUGCCUUAUAUAAUUGAGUUUUACCUUAUUUCAAUUGAAGCUAACGUUAGUUGCCAUAUAAAAUUGAGCUUUAUCUUAUCUCAAUGGAAGCAAACGUUAAUUGCCUUAUAUAAUUGAGCUUCAAUAAGAAUUAAAAUUAAGUGAACAUAUAUUAAUGUUUUAAGGAAAAUCAAUAUUCAAAAUUUGAAUAUUACCUUCUUUAGAUGGAAAGUGGAAUUCAAAAUGAAAUUAAAUUCUUAAUUUCAGUGAUUUAAAUCUUCUAAUAAAGGCCUAACCUUUAAUUUCACCCUGAACUUUCCGAAUAGUUACAAUUUCACUCUAAAUCAAUUUUUGUACCCUAAAAACCCUGAACUUAUCAAUCUAGUUACAAUUACACCUUAAAAGAUUAAGGUGUAAUUGCAACUAAAAGUGAAUUACGACAACCUGAACUUAUCAAUUCGUUGCAAUUGCACUCUAAAAAUAAACUAUGGUCGAAAUUUUAAUUAAAAAUAAAUAAAUGGACUCCAUACCCUAGUAUUUAAACAAUACUAGCAAAAUCAAACCCAAGUAUUCCUAUAAUAAAUAAAAAAAAAUAAAAAUUGAAUAUUUGAUUUUAAAAUUGAAUCAAUUUUAAAAUGCAAAAAUAAUGAAUUGGCUAUGAAGUCAAAUUAGAGUGUAAUUGCAACGAGGUUGAUAAGUUCAGGGUACUCAGGAUACAAAGGUUGAUUUAACGUAAAAUUACAAUUAUUUGAAAAGUUCGAGAUGAAAUUAAAGGCUAGGCUUCCGAUAAAUGUUAACUACCUUUUAUAAGUCUAACUUAAUAAUAUUAAUAAUACUAAUUAUGCAAAAAAAUGUUAUUAUUACCGGCAAGCUGUUGGUUGAGGUGGUAAGCGACCUCAAUCUCCGUUCAUAUGGAUGAGAACACAAGUUCAAUCUCCGGAAAAUGCAUUUUGCUGAAGGACUAAAAACCUCUAUGCUCUACUGUCCAAGGAGAUCCUGGGUAUAAAAAAAGUGUUAUUAUUACAUUAAUAAUAAUUAAAAUAAUGAUGCCUGUAAUUUAAUUGUUGCCAAAUAUUCUUUCUCCAUUAUUACUCAGUUUUUGAAAUUGUAUAAUUUCAUUUUCUUUAUUAAAUUUUAAUAAAUAUUCAUUCAGUUUGAAACUGUAUAACUUAAAUGAUGCCACGGUGAAGCCAAAGAGUUUCUUACUAUUCAUGAUUCUAACUAAUUUUUCAAUUGAAACGAAAUUUUUUCAUGGACAAUUCAAUUAAUUAUAUAUAUACUUUAUAUCAGAUGAAAGAAAGAUAUUCAAUAAUCCAGUAAAUAUCAACUUAAUGACGAAUAAAACACAGUUAAAAAAAGACUGGGAAAUCAAUCAACAAAACUUUCAAACAAUUUAAACUUUGAAAACUACUGAAAAAGAAAACAAUAAUAAUAGCUAAUUAGAGUAUAUAACUUUUGAAGAACAUAUACUCCAAUAACAAAAAUAAGAAUGCUUUCUCUUCACUGAUUCCUCGAGAAGAGAGAGCAUUUAAUGCAGAUCAAUUAUUUGUUUGUUUGUUUGUCCUUGCUGAUGAAAAUGAUUUCAAAUAACAAAAUUCCUAAAAACAUGUAAAAAUAGGAAAGGAGAACAAAUUAUCAUGCGAGAUCUAGCCAUACAAAACAUGAAGAUGAGUUUAAAUAUCUCAAAUAUUCUCAAACUGACCAAAUUGAAUUUCACAAAAGGGAAUCAAAAUUUUUAAUUAGAGAACUCAAAUUUUCAUGUAGAGAUUCAUUGACAUGAGAUCACAAUUCCGUAAUAAUAAGUAAUAAAUUCUUCGAGGUAGCUGAUGCAUCUCUAGUGAGAUGUUAGCCUUUACACAAUGCAAUAAAAUUAUAUCACUUUCACAUAACUCUUUUACAACAACAUAAAGCCAAUAUCGGAAUCGUUCAAAAUAUCAUGUUUACCCUCUAUCCACCAAGGAAAACACCAUUAAAAGAUAAGGGUAAAUUCCAAAGCAUUGAAAUGAUAUCAUUACAAAAUAUGAUAGUAACUGUAAGAUAGGAGCCCUUACAAACCCAUUCCGGGACUAACUCCAUUAUCUAUGAACAUAUAUAGCCGAAUUCCAAUUUUAAAGUAAGCAGUAAAUAGAAGAAAUCAGAGAAGCAAAUAACAGAUAACAGCACUAACACAGAGCAAAAUAAGCAGACAAAUCAGAGACCAAUAUUGAUAAACCGAUAAUUAAUUAAAAUAAAAAAAAAAUGAGAAUAGUAUAAAGAGAAGGAGAGAGAGAGAUUGAGACAUACUUCUAUGGGACGUCGACCAUAUCGACAAAUAAUCAAUGUUUACAAAUUCCUUCUCUUUCAAUUUCAAGGCAACCAAUAAAUAGAAGAGAUCAUAUAAACAAAUAGAUAGCUUCUAACCUUUAAUCCCAAUUGUAAAAUUAUGUUGGUGGGCAAUUCUGGCUAGGGCUUAAUCGGAAAGGAAAAGAAGAAGAUGGUGAUAGUGAUAUUUUUCUUUCUAUGUUAAUUGGCAUCGACUAAUCGUCGUAGCGAAUUAGACAUGGGAGGAGAAAAUGAACGGAGAGGGAAAAAGGGCACUUGAAGAUGUACGGACACUGAGAGAGAGGUUGUAGGUUAUUAAAAC
This 3056-nucleotide long non-coding RNA is filed under the name Jatropha curcas. RNAcentral describes it as "long non-coding RNA (JCUR_LNC001638)". The record is from RNAcentral. Lineage: Eukaryota; Viridiplantae; Streptophyta; Magnoliopsida; Malpighiales; Euphorbiaceae.